RNAcentral lists this long non-coding RNA (1468 nucleotides) under Mus musculus (house mouse). Its description in RNAcentral is "long non-coding RNA chr3:121368237-121369705". The record is from RNAcentral. Lineage: Eukaryota; Metazoa; Chordata; Mammalia; Rodentia; Muridae.
ACAGCUACAGUGUACUUAUGUAUAAUAAUAAAUAAAUCUAAAAAAAAAAAAAAAAAAGGAAUGUGGGAAGAGGGCAGGCAGAUAACACGGCAGGAUUUCUGUGAAGAUGAUUUUGACCUCAUGGAUUCCUGAGGUCACAACGCCAAGUGUCUCUGAGGGCCCAGCCUGAGAAAUGCUGCUCUAAAUGACAUCAAAGCAAUACUUUCUCUGGUACCUGUUACUCAGCUGCUGAUUUGUGAAUUCAUUUAUUUCUACCUAGCAAGUUUCCACAAAAUUAGUGACCUGAAAAAUAUAUUUGCGGUCUGUCUUAGUUAUUUUUCUGUUGCUAUGACAAAACGUAUGACUGAGAAAAGUUAUAAAGGAAAGUGUUUAAUGGGGCUUACAGUUUCAGAGGCUUUGAGUUCAUGUGGCAAAGCAAAGGCAUGGGGAAGGAACAGCUGAGAGUUCACUUCUUGGUCCACAAGAAGCAGGCAGAGAAAGAACACUUGGUCUCUUAAAACCUCAAAGCCACCCCCAGUGACUCACCUUCCACAACAAAGCCACACCUCCUAAUCCUUUCCAAACCGUUCCACCAAUGGGGACCAAGUAUGCAAAUAUCUGAGAGCCUAUUGGGGCAUUGUCACUCACACCACCACAGGAGCUCAUUGGCAUAAUGCUUUUUUUUGGGGGGGGGCGGGGCGGUUCAAGACAGGGUUUCUGUGUAGCCCUGGCUGUCCUGGAACUCACUCUGUAGACCAGGCUGGCCUCGAACUUAGAAAUCUGCCUGCCUCCUUCCCCCCCCCCCGCGCCCCCCCCCCCGAGUGCUGGGAUUAAAGGUGUGCGCCACUACCACCUGGUUGGCAUAAUACUUUGAUUAGUUGUCUGCUCAGAGUCUCACAAGGGUAAACUCAAAGUGACAGCUGACCCUGGCUCUUUCUUCAAGCUCAUACAGGUCAUUGCUGGCAGAAUUUAGUCCUCGUAGUUGCAAGGCUCCCAUUAACUGCUCUUCCCCGCUUCCACCCCCCCCCUUUUUUUUUUUAAUUUUGUUUUGGAAAAAAAAAAUGUCUUUAUCUUCUCAAGUCAAACCUGGUAGUCCCUGCCUACGGUUCCAACAUCUGUGAGCCUGUGAAGUGAAAAUGGGGAAACGAAGGGAGAAGUUUUCAGAUCGAAGCCCAUACUUGGCCAAGGGUCUGAUCCUAGAAGAAAUGACAAUCCCAGACCUCAAAUGCAGCUUCUUAGAAAAAAAAAAGGUGCUUGAACUGUCGCUGGCUGGAGAUCACCAACAACAAGGAGAGCAGGGACUCAUGUUCCACCCAACCAGGCCAAGCUCUUUGACCCAGUGAUGUCAUCUAUGAUGUCACUACCGCCUCAUCGGCACUGCCUGUUUUUGGUCUGAAUGAGAUGUGCCUUAUAAGUCCCAAGCCUGUGACUACUGGGCUCACAGUUGGUGGCUGUUGGAGGAGAAUUAGAAGGUAUGGCCUUGCUGGAG